GGAAACAGUGGGAUGGGCGGCCUGGAAGAAGAGGGCGGGAGCCUGGGGAGGCUGGGAGGAGGCGGUCGGCCCGCAGGGAGGAGUUGGCCCCUCAUGCCACUCAGCAUUCUCAGGGCUCCAGGUGAGGAGCCGUGGGGGUCUCAGUGUUCUCAGGUGAGGAGCCGUGGGGGUCUCAGUGUUCUCAGGACCCAGGUGAGGAGCCGUGGGGGUCUCAGUGUUCUCAGGUGAGGAGCCGUGGGGGUCUCAGUGUUCUCAGGACCCAGGUGAGGAGCCGUGGGGGUCUCAGUGUUCUCAGGUGAGGAGCCGUGGGGGUCUCAGUGUUCUCAGGACCCAGGUGAGGAGCCGUGGGGGUCUCAGCUGUACGGCGGGGCUGUUGAAGAGCCUCUGCGUUUUUACUUGAUGUAUCUUGGAAAUGCCGUUUUGUAAAAUGGUUCAC
Non-coding RNA from Oryctolagus cuniculus (rabbit), 436 nucleotides. NCBI's taxonomy places the organism in Eukaryota, Metazoa, Chordata, Mammalia, Lagomorpha, Leporidae. The record is from RefSeq and is a predicted model, not a curated record.